Sapajus apella (tufted capuchin) is the source of this 93-nucleotide long non-coding RNA. RefSeq lists it as uncharacterized. Lineage: Eukaryota; Metazoa; Chordata; Mammalia; Primates; Cebidae. The record is from RefSeq and is a predicted model, not a curated record. The transcript is spliced from 3 exons.
AUUCCUUUACUUGAUAAGGUAAUCACUUUGAUCAAUAUGAGGAAGGACACUUGGAAAUUGAACAAGCAUCACUUGACAAGCCUAUUGAAUCGG